GUACUCACUUCAGCAGCACACAUACUAAAAAUUGGAACGAUACAAAGAAGAUUAGCAUGGCCCCUGCGAAAGGAUGACAGGUAAAUUCGUAAAGUGUUCUGCAUUAAAUUUUU
RNAcentral lists this small nuclear RNA (113 nucleotides) under Dasypus novemcinctus (nine-banded armadillo). Lineage: Eukaryota; Metazoa; Chordata; Mammalia; Cingulata; Dasypodidae. The record is from RNAcentral.